CAAACCUAAUAUGCAGACUAAAAAGAAACGGAGGGAGUAUUUUGUAAACUAACAUGAAGAGAGAUCAACAUUAUUAUCUAUGUUUCUGACUAUUCUGCAAAAUCUAGCUUGUUCUAGUCCUACAAUUUCGUAGUUGUUGUUGAAUACAAUACACUAAAAAUGUAUGCAAUACCACUGUAUAUAAUGGUUGAGUGUAAGAUAACCAGUUUCGAUCUUUCUCUGAUCAUAAUUGAUUCCCGUGAACCAACAGCUAGAAGAUCUUGCCCAAUAAUUUGUAAGUCCAUGGAACAGGCCAGUUGUGUAUGAUACAGACAGUGCCGGUCGGCUAUGGUAAAGUAAAAUACACGAGAAACUAAUGCUGUUUUAAUAUUACUAUAACAGAAGUAGAACAAGCCGUCCGUCCAAUCAAUAUUACUGCACUGUGGACCAAGACACAUAAUUCUGGUUGGCCAUGAUUAUCCGUUUUAUGGCACCCAAUUCUUUCACCACAGCGCCCAUCUUUAUGCGCUGUCUUGCAGAGCCCCUGCAGCAAGCUAGACCAAGUCUUGAAACUGGAGCAGCGAACAAUUCUAAAGUCACUUGAGGCUCUUGAUUGCAUCUUAUAUUGACGUCCAUUAUAUCCAACAGAUUACCAGGACAUGCCAUCUUAACGUACUUUGGUAGAUUCGUACUAGUUUUAAUAUUACUAUAACAGAAGUAGAACAAGCCGUCCGGCACACCAUAGCAUGUCCUGGUAAGUAGUAUCGCCGAAUCUACCAGUAAGAUGGCAUGUCCUGGUAAGUAGUAUUUGGAGUAGUAUCACCGAAAAAUGGGUCAGUUGGCCUUCUCCCAGUAAGCAUCUCCAACAAUAGCACACCAUAGCUGUACACGUCGCCUUCCACAGAUAUUCCUGUCCCCGUGCCAUACUCUGGUAAAGAAAGGAAAAGAAAGGGUUUGUGUUAGCUUUCUUAUAAACUACUCCCUCUGUUCCGAAAUAGUUGUCAUCGGGGAUUAUCAGUUCAUUUUUUGUCACGUUACGAUAUUUCUCCCGUUUCCCCUUUUGCCCUCGCACUCGCUCUCUCCCCGACCACACGCUCUCUCCCGGCCAACACUCUCUCCCCGACCACUCGCUCCUCCCCGCCCAGAUCCCUUGCGCCGCCGGCCAGUCGCCGCCCUCUCCCUCUCGUCGGUGUCUUCCUCACCGCAGCCUUGCUCCUCACCACCCCUAAAACUAGCAACCCGUCUCCCCCUCGUCGGUCAAAGGUGAAAUUUUUACCAGCCGGGGUGCUCGAUCUGUGGGCGGCGGUGCUCGAUCCGUGUUGGAGCAGCGGGAGGAGGAGGGCAGUGCUGGAUUGGAGCAGCGGUGCUGGACCGGAGCAGCGGGAAUAGGGGGGUGGUGCCGGCCGCUCUUACUUUGUGUAGUCCUCUUCGCUCUCGUCAUGUCGUUGCCGCCGCCGAGGAAGAUGGAGAGCCUGUCGGAGGGAGGAGCGCCAUGGCCAGUUCUGACCUCCUCCGUCCAGAUCCAGCUCCAGCAAUCAUCCCCUCUUGCUGCUUGCUCUCUCAAUUUCAAGACUGAAGAAGAGAACAUGGGGAGCAGCAGCUGCCCUCUGCUCUGCUCUUAUGCGAAUGCUCUACUGCAGGACCGUGGCAGCGAUGCUCGCCGAAGCGGACGACAACCACUCCCGUGCAAACAAAGGUGAGCAUUCAGGAAAAGAACACUUGGCUAAACUUCAGGAAAAAGAUGCACCGAAUCUUACACCUGCACCAAGACAUACAACAAAGAAAUGAAUAAAUGAAAUGAUCAAGUGAUGAAGUGAUGGAAUGAUCAAGUGAUGAAAUGAUCAAGUGUAACUGUACCUGGAUUUUGAACAAUUUCAUCUCCUUCCAUUCCCUCUCCGGCAUCUCCUUCCAUAUCAUCUCCUACAUGUCCUUCCAUUUCAUUUUCUGCAUUUUCAUCCAUUUCAUCCACAUCUUCUGCAGGUGGAGCGAACUUGAGGUCUGGGAGAUCCAUUUUCUCCUGAAGAUAUGAAUAUGUAAGAUGAAGUAGAAGUAGAAGUAGAAGUAGAAGUAGAAGUACAAGAAGAAGAAGAAGAAGAAGAAGAAGAACAUAUAAAUUCAGUCUGUGUACUGUCAAUUGUUGUAUGUUUACUGUCAAAGCAAGAAUUAGUCAAUUGCUGUCUGUUUACUGUCAAAUCAAGAAUGACAAUAUUGUUAUGGUCAAUUGUUGUCCGUUUACUGUCAAAGCAAGAAUUAGUUUCCUAGGUUAAUGAAACAUUACCAGCCAUAAUUAGUUUUAUGUAUCUUAAUUAUCUCUGAACAUUUUUGCCUGAAAACUGAAUGUACAAUGUUUCUGUAGAUAAUUUGGUCGAAAAGGGACGACAUGCUGAGGUGUACAACAUUCAGUUUCUCUUUCGACAUGCUGAGCUCUAUAAGUGCUCACAUUCUUUGUAUGGAUCUUAUUGAAUGAGUACUUGUUAACAUUGGUACCAUUUUCUUCAGAUUUUCGUUGGUGGUCUUCUGAUUGAUUUGGAAGGAAGAAUUGUUGGUAUGAAUUUCAUAGACGAGAAUAGAACUCCCUUUUUGCCCGUCCAAAUUGUUGGGAGAUGCCUGAAACACUUCAGAAAUUUGGCGUUUGUUUUACAGGACACUUCUUUCCUGUAUAUGGGACGAUUGCUUGAAGGAUUUGGUGUUGGUGUCAUAUCCUACACGUUUUGACAGGUGAACAGAUGGACAGUGGCUGCUCCUUGCUGAUCAAUUCAAAAUUGCUCUGGCUAUCAAUUCAAGCUUGCUGUGACUGGUGAGAAGACGUCCUGGUCAAUCACCACAUCUGAUCAAUUUCAGUCUGUGGCGAGAAGAAGUGGUACAACUCCGGCGAUCAAUUUCUUUGGCGAUUAACAAUUUUGAUCAAUUCAAACAGCAACACAGGCAGCGCUAGUGCUGCUGUUGGUCAGUGCGGGGAGGAGCACGGGCGGAGGUCAAUUGGCCGGAUCCGGAGCUCCAGUGCCUAAAUCGAGGAGCUGGAAGGCUGAGGCAGGAGGAGGAGCACAGGCUGCGCUGCUGCGGCUGUUGGUCAGUGCGGGGAGGAGCACGGACGGAGGUCAAUUGGCCGGAUCCGGAGCUCCAGUGCCUGAAUCGAGGAGCUGGAAGGCUCAGGCAGGAGGAGGAGGAGCACGGGCGGCGCUGCUGCUGGUCGGUGCGGGGAGGAGCAUGGGCGGCGCGAAGGCCAGGAGUCGCGGGCGGCUGGAGGCUGUGGCGGACGGCGAGGGAGCUGCGUACGAGUUUGGGCUCUUGAUUGGAGCGGAGGAAGGCGCCCGAUGAGGGAGCUGCGACCGGCGCGGACGGACGCCGGAGCUGCAGCAGUGGGAUGGAGCCUGGCGAAGGGGAGGAGCGAUGGAGUAAGACGAAGAUCCCCAGCGACAAGAAUUUCAAAUUGAGGGUAGUUUGGUACUUUAUCCUGUUUUCACCUGGUCGGAAAAGUUCCCCAACGACAACUAUUUCAGAACAGAGGGAGUAUAUGGUAUAAAUAUAAUUCAUUCCACUCAAAUUCCUUAGUCGUUUACAUAUACUCCCUCCGUCCCAUAAUGUAAGACGCUUUUUGACACUACACUAGUGUGGAAAAACGUUUUACAUUAUGGGACAGAGGUAGUAGUAGUUAAUUGUAUUCUCGGCACAACAAAUUAUGGUAAAUGGAUACACAUUUUUUUUA
Triticum dicoccoides is the source of this 3685-nucleotide RNA transcript. RefSeq lists it as uncharacterized. Lineage: Eukaryota; Viridiplantae; Streptophyta; Magnoliopsida; Poales; Poaceae. The transcript is spliced from 6 exons. The record is from RefSeq and is a predicted model, not a curated record.